AGCGAACGCUGGCGGUAGGCUUAACACAUGCAAGUCGAACGGUAGCACAGUAAGAGCUUGCUCUGACGGGUGGCGAGUGGCGGACGUGAGAGGAAUACAUCGGAAUCUACUUUUUCGUGUGGGGUAACGUAGGGAAACUUACUCUAAUACCUCAUACGACCUACGCGUGAAAGCAGGUGAUCUUCGGACCUUGCGCGAGUGAAGGAGCCGAGGUCGGAUUAGCUAGUUGGCGGGGUAAAGGCCCACCAAGGCGACGAUCCGUAGCUGGUCUGAGAGGAUGAUAGGCCACACUGGAACAGAGAGACGGUCCAGACUCCUAGGGGAGGCAGGAGUGGGGAAUAUGGGACAAUGGGCGAAAGCCUGAUCCAGCCAUACCGCGUGGGUGAGGAAGGCAUUGGGGUUGUAGAGUCCUGUUGUUGGGACGGAAAAGCAGAAGCUUAAUACAUCGCUGUUCUGACGGUACCCGAAGAAGAAGCACCGGCUAACUUCGUG
RNAcentral lists this ribosomal RNA (492 nucleotides) under uncultured bacterium. RNAcentral's name for it is "partial 16S ribosomal RNA". It matches the Rfam family "Bacterial small subunit ribosomal RNA", at positions 29 to 507 of the family's 1533-position model. The record is from RNAcentral.